RNAcentral lists this long non-coding RNA (1885 nucleotides) under Citrus x clementina. RNAcentral's name for it is "Citrus clementina (C. clementina) long non-coding RNA (CCLE_LNC004214)". The record is from RNAcentral. Lineage: Eukaryota; Viridiplantae; Streptophyta; Magnoliopsida; Sapindales; Rutaceae.
GAUAAAUUUAUUAAUUUAUAGAGUUAUUUACAAUUUAGUUAACAUACAUCUAACAAGUAAACAUUGAAUGUAUUUUACCAAUAUUGAAUAUGAAUUAAACUAUACAUUCAAUUAACCAAAAUAAUAAAUACAUACAUUGUACAUGUCUACUUAAUUAGAUAACAUUCAUGUUACGUUAACUUAAUUAAAUGUAGCAAAUGAAUUAGAUUAAAAAUUAUUUAAUUCAUGUUAUACUCAAUGUAUUUAACUAAUCAUUUAGUCAAGAAAAUAAAUAUAUUUUACUUAUUUAUGUGCUUAAUUAAAUAGUAUUCAUAUUAAUUAACUUAAUUAAAUGUGUUCGAUGAAUUUGAUUAAAAAUAAUCUUUAUGUAAAAUCUCGUUGAAGAAGAAGCUGAGGAUAAUACAAUAGCUUUGAAACCUGUUACAUGCAAGAAAGCACUAAGACAGUGUUUACUUUCUGGAGUGAGAGUGAGGAGUGUGGAUUCCUCCCACUUCAGUGUUUACUUCAACAAAAUAGAGAGGGAUUGGGAAUCCCACUCCGUGGCCCCACUCAUUUUUGGAGUGGGGAGUGGGAGUGGGAAUCCACUCCCACCUCUCCCUUUUCUACCAUUUGUUUUUAAUUUAAUUUAAUAAAAUAAAAUAAUUUAUAAUUAUAUUUAUUUAAAUAAUAUUAUUUUAUUUAACUAAAUAAUAAUUUACAUUGAUUAUAAGUUAAAAUUACUUAAAAUAAUAUUAUUAUAUUAAUAGAGAAUUAAUAAAUAUAUGCUAUCUUUAUUUAAUAAUAUAAUAUUAUUAUAUUUAUUUUAAAAAUACUAGUACUAUAGUUAUUUAAUAUUAAUAAUUAAUAAUAAUAAAUAGUUUAUUCUAAGAAAAUAUUAAUUUUGUACUAAAUAAUAUUAUAUUAAUAAAUUUAAUAUAAUUAUAUAAAAUAAAAUAAUGUUUCAUUUUAUAUUUACCAUUCUUUUUAUUAAAUUUACUAUAACUAUAUUUAAUAAAUAUUUAAAUAAUAUUAUUAUAUUUAACUAAAUAAUAAUUGGGUUUGAUUCUAAGUUUAAUUUACUUAAAAAUAAUAUUAUUAUAUUAAUAGAGAAUUAAUAAUAUUACUAUAUACAAUCUUUAUUUGAAAAUAUAAUAUUAUUAUAUUUAUUUAAAAAUAAUAGUAUUAUAUUUAUUUAAUAUUAAUAAUUGAUACUAAUAAAUACUUUUUCUAAGAAAAUAUUAAUUUCAUACUAUGUUAAUAGUAAAAAUAUUUCAUUUAUAUUGCCCUUAUCAACAAUUUUUAAUUUAUAUAAUUAAAAUUAAAAAAAAUGUGUUGUUCAUAAUUAAGAAUAUUAAUAAUUAUUAUAAAUUUACAAAUAUAAUAAAAUAUAUGUUUAUUCAUUAAAUAUAUUUUUUAUUAACUUUGUAAUUAAAAACUAUAAUUCUUUACAUAAGGAUAAAAUUGUAAUUUGAAACUAUUUACUCCUAAUCCAAGACAAAGUAAACACAUAAAUUGGAUUCUGAUCUCCAUUCCAUACUUCCAUUUCAGUGCAAGUAAAUAACUUACUCUCACUCCCACUCCACACUCCCAAUCUUAGGAUGUCCACUCCUCAGGAUUCUCACUCCAAUCCAAAAAGUAAACGCUACCUAAAAGUAUCAACAAUACUUCUCAAUUUCUUAUUACAAUUCGAGAAGUCAACCUCAGAACUUCUAGAUACAAUAAGAAAAAUAAGACAUAAGAUCCAUGGAUAGCAAUGGGGUGGGGUGGGGUGGGGUGGGUGGGGGUGUCUACCUCAUUCUUCACCCCAUAAAAAUUUCGCCUCGAUUCCCCAUCCCAUCCCCCAAUAAAUUUUGUGGGGUGAGGAUGGGGAAUCCUUAUAUGGGGAAUGAUUUCCCCAUCUCCACCC